CUACGGGUGGCUCCAGUGAGGAAUAUUGCACAAUGGGGGGAACCCUGAUGCAGCAACGCCGCGUGGAGGAUGACGCAUUUCGGUGUGUAAACUCCUUUUAUAUGUCAAGAAAAUGACGGUAGCAUAUGAAUAAGCACCGGCUAACUCCGUGCCAGCAGCCGCGGUAAGACGGAGGGUGCAAGCGUUACUCGGAAUCACUGGGCGUAAAGGACGCGUAGGCGGGUUGGAAAGUCAGGUGUGAAAUCCUACAGCUUAACUGUAGAACUGCACUUGAAACUUCUAAUCUAGAGUAUGGGAGGGGGAGAUGGAAUUAGUGGUGUAGGGGUAAAAUCCGUAGAUAUCACUAGGAAUACCUAAAGCGAAGGCGAUCACCUGGAACAUUACUGACGCUAAGGCGUGAAAGCGUGGGGAGCAAACAGGAUUAGAUACCCGAGUAGUC
This 439-nucleotide ribosomal RNA is filed under the name uncultured bacterium. RNAcentral describes it as "partial 16S ribosomal RNA". It matches the Rfam family "Bacterial small subunit ribosomal RNA", at positions 339 to 795 of the family's 1533-position model. The record is from RNAcentral.